This 5446-nucleotide unclassified non-coding RNA is filed under the name Bombyx mandarina (wild silkworm). Its description in RNAcentral is "muscle calcium channel subunit alpha-1-like, transcript variant X1". Lineage: Eukaryota; Metazoa; Arthropoda; Insecta; Lepidoptera; Bombycidae. The record is from RNAcentral.
CUGCGAUCGACGUGUCCGGAACGUAAUCCGUCGUAGCAACCCUCAAUAUUUACGUGAAAUGUAUCGCGAAGUGCCUCCAAAAUAAUAUAACGCGCUAUGCCAUCGAUCCGAUAAACAUAUGCGCGUUUGCACACGUAAAGCUCGCGGUUUCGCGUGUGCUUCUGUGAUGAAAAUGGAAAAGUUGUUUUUAUUCGAACGUUAGCGGAAAAAUAGAGGUGAAAAUGGCGUCGAUAGAGCAAACCCCGACGGUGCCCACGACCCCGUACAUGGAGAACGUCGCUGACCCGACACUGGCAGCAGCCGCUGCCGCGAAGAAACAGGCUCGGGGCAGAGGAAAAGCGCAGCCAGAAAAACCUAAGAGGAGCUUGAUGUGCCUCACUCUGGACAACCCUUUACGGAAACUAUGUUAUAGCAUCGUUGAGUGGAAACCAUUUGAAUAUAUGAUCUUGACCACGAUCUUCGCAAAUUGCAUCGCCUUAGCGGUAUUCACACCGUACCCGUUCGGAGAUACAAACAACACAAAUCAAAUACUGGAAAAAGUGGAAUGGGUUUUCAUGGUGAUAUUCACCGGGGAGUGCAUCAUCAAGAUCAUAGCGUACGGCUUCUUUUUUCAUCCAGGAGCCUAUCUUCGGAAUACUUGGAACAGUCUAGAUUUUACUAUAGUCACAAUCGGUAUUGCGAGUAUGAUACAACAGUACCUAUCGAUAGAUUUGUUCGACGUAAAAGCACUGAGAGCUUUCAGGGUACUGAGGCCGUUACGACUCGUUUCCGGAGUACCUAGUCUUCAAAUUGUUCUGAACUCCAUCCUGAAAGCCAUGGUGCCGCUCUUUCACAUAGCCUUCCUUGUGCUAUUCGUGAUCAUCAUCUAUGCCAUCAUAGGCUUGGAGCUGUUCUCGGGAGUGCUCCAUGAAACUUGCUUCAACAAUGAAACAGGUGAGACAAUGGCGAACCCUGCGCCUUGUAGUAGCACUCAAGGCGAUGGUAUGAAGUGCAAAGACAAUAUGACUUGCAAGGGUUAUUGGGAUGGACCAAAUGAUGGGAUCACCAAUUUUGACAACAUCGGAUACGCCAUGUUGACUGUCUUCCAAUGUAUCACGCUUGAAGGCUGGACAGAUAUUAUGUAUGCGGUGGCCAACGUCAAAGGCAAAACGUGGGUUUGGAUCUACUUCGUGACUUUGGUGAUCUUCGGGAACUUCUUCGUCAUGAAUCUGAUCCUGGGUGUGUUGUCAGGUGAGUUUUCCAAAGAAAGAGAGAAAGCGAAGAGCCGUGGUGAUUUCCAGAAGUCACGCGAAAGGCAACAGCUGGAAGAAGACAUGAAGGGGUAUCUGAAUUGGAUCACAGUUGCGGAAGAGCUGGACUUGGAGAAUGAACAGACGCAGAAUGAGGAUGAUCAGGACGCCCAAGGCAAGAAAGAUAGAAAGAGCAAUGAAGAAUCACAGAAUAAUUUGAACGUGAACGGGGAUCAAGUACAAACAUCAAGAUCCUAUAGAUUCGAUAAGGUCAAUCGUCGAUUACGUAGAGCCUGCAGAAUAGCCGUGAAGACACAGACUUUCUAUUGGGCAAUCAUCAUAUUGGUAUUCCUCAAUACACUGGUGCUAGCUACUGAACAUUACAAUCAACCUCGAUGGCUUGAUUAUUUCCAGAACUACGCCAACUAUUUUUUCGUUGUUCUGUUUACUCUUGAGAUGAUGCUGAAGAUGUACGCGCUAGGAUUUCAGGGCUACUUCGUAUCCCUAUUCAAUCGCUUCGAUUGCUUCAUCAUGGUCUGCUCUGUGGUGGAAUUGGCGCUUACUUUAACAGAGACCAUACCGCAGCUCGGUAUUUCCGUGCUGAGGUGUGUCAGGCUACUAAGAGUCUUCAAGGUUACCAAGUAUUGGCGGUCUCUUUCUAAUCUCGUAGCAUCUCUGCUUAACUCCAUCCAGUCCAUCUUCUCCCUUCUUCUGCUGCUAUUCUUGUUUAUCGUGAUCUUCGCUUUACUUGGGAUGCAAGUGUUUGGUGGGAGAUUCGACUACGCGCCGGAAGCUGAGAAAGAGAGGCAUAACUUCGAUUCUUUCUGGCAGGCAGUUCUGACCAUGUUUCAGAUACUGACAGGCGAAGAUUGGAAUGUAGUCAUGUAUGAGGGGAUCAAAGCAUACGGUGGCGCCGGGACGCCGGGAAUGCUGGCGUCUAUAUACUUCAUCGUUAUAUUCAUUUGCGGCAAUUAUAUUUUACUAAACGUAUUCUUGGCCAUCGCUGUCGACAACCUUGGCGACGCAGAGGAAAUGGAUGCAAUCGAAAAACAGAAAGAGAUGGCAGAAAACGCUGAAGCCGGUAAUGUGGUUCUCGAUGAAGAAAGAGGAGAAACUGAUGAUGAAUAUGUUAACGAGGAAGAAGGAUAUUCUAAUGAAGGGUCUGAGAAUGAAUGCGAAGAGACUGGUUCUGAAGAAGACGUGGAAGAACAGGAACAAGAGGAGAAAGAGAAUCCUCAAGAUAUAUUGGUCACUAUUGACAAAAAACAAAAUGGAGACGUUAACAAAAAAGAAUCAGAGCCCCAUGUAACAAUUUCGGCCCGACCUCGAAGGUUAUCGGAUGUGAACAUCAAAACGCAAGAGAAGCCUAUACCUGAUGCCAGUAGCUUCUUUAUACUCUCCAAGGAUAAUUGUUUUCGGGUGGCCUGCUACAAUAUUCAAAAAAACUCCUGGUUCAAGAAUCUUAUUCUGAUAUGCAUCUUGGCGUCUUCCGUCAUGCUGGCUUUGGAGGACCCUGUUACCAGCAACUUGAACACCCCUACUGGGAUAAAUGAGGUUCUACGCAACGUGGAUUACUUCUUCACGGCUGUAUUUACAAUUGAGCUCCUAUUGAAGCUCAUUACAUACGGUUUUAUACUGCACAAAGAUUCUUUCUGUCGUUCUGGAUUCAACUUGCUCGAUUUGCUGGUUGUGAUCGUGUCCUUUAUAUCGUUGGACAGAUCAAACAGCGUCAACUUCAUUAAGAUUUUGAGGGUCUUCCGCGUUUUAAGGCCGCUUCGUGCCAUAAACAGAGCCAAAGGUCUAAAGCACGUAGUUCAAUGCGUGAUCGUUGCUAUAAAGACAAUCGGAAACAUAUUAUUGGUGACAAAUCUUCUACAAUUCAUGUUUGCCGUUAUGGGAGUGCAAAUGUUCAAGGGUAGAUUUUUUAAAUGUACAGAUAUUACGAAGGACAAUGAAAAUGAUUGCCAUGGCACGUAUCUCAUUUACGAGAACGGCGAGGCCAUAACGAACGAUCGUUUGUGGCUACGCAACAAAUUCAACUUCGACGACGUCCUCAACGGUAUGCUGACUCUUUUCACCGUCUCCACGUACGAGGGAUGGCCGGCUCUACUCUCCACAUCAAUGGAUUCUAAUAAAGAGAAUCACGGACCUAUAGAAAAUUCAAGGCCGUUCGUCGCGUUCUUCUAUAUCAGCUACAUCAUUGUCAUUGCUUUUUUUAUGGUCAAUAUCUUCGUGGGCUUUGUCAUAGUCACGUUCCAGAAAGAAGGAGAGCAAGAGUUCAAGGACUGCGAGCUGGAUAAGAACCAGAGGAACUGUAUAGAGUUCGCACUAAAAGCCAAACCGAUUAGAAGAUACAUUCCAAAGCAUCGCAUCCAGUACAAGACUUGGUGGUUUGUGACCUCGCAGCGUUUUGAAAACGUCAUCUUCUUCUUCAUCGUGCUAAACACCAUCGCGCUGAUGAUGAAGUUCCAUGGCUCCAAAACGGAAUAUAAAAAGGGACUUGACGUUCUUAAUAUGGGAUUAACCACUGUCUUUACUUUGGAGUUCAUCCUGAAAUUGGCCGCAUUUAGGUUUAAGAACUACUUCGGCGAUGCUUGGAAUACGACGGAUUUCAUUCUAGUCGUGGGGAGUAUCAUUGACAUACUGGUGACGCAGGUCAACGAAAAAAAGGAGCUCGGAAGUUUCGAUGCAAAAACUGAGAAAGGUCCCCUGUCAAAAUACAUCACGUUCUUUCGUCUCUUCCGGGCCAUGAGGUUGAUAAAACUCUUAUCCAGAGGAGAGAGGAUCAGAACUCUCCUGUGGACCUUCAUCAAGUCAUUCCAGGCUCUACCUUAUGUCGCUUUAUUGAUUGUACUGCUAUUCUUCAUUUACGCUGUGGUUGGAAUGCAGCUUUUCGGAAGAAUUUACUUUGACGACGCAGUCAUAACUGACCAUAAUAAUUUCCAGACAUUUCCGAACGCUCUCAUGGUGCUCUUUCGAUCUGCUACAGGUGAAGCAUGGCAGGAGAUCAUGAUGGCAUUAUCGCCCAAUGAAUAUGAGCGUCCGGGCAAUCCGCCUCAUUGCAUCAAAAUCGACACAGACGGCCGCUACGUUGAAGAUACAACAGAAUGCGGUAGUUGGCUAGCGUUCCCCUACUUCAUAUCCUUCUCUUUGCUCUGUACAUUCUUGAUCAUUAACUUAUUUGUGGCCGUCAUCAUGGACAACUUUGAUUAUUUGACGAGAGAUUGGUCCAUUCUUGGCCCCCAUCAUCUGGAUGAGUUUGUUCGGUUGUGGAGUGAAUACGACCCCGACGCUAAAGGCAGAAUCAAGCAUUUAGACGUGGUGACGUUGCUGAGGAAAAUAAGCCCGCCUUUAGGUUUCGGAAAGUUGUGCCCUCACAGGACUGCGUGCAAGCGUCUGGUGUCGAUGAACAUGCCUCUCAAUUCCGACGGGACGGUCAAUUUCAACGCGACCCUCUUUGCUGUUGUCAGAACUCAACUCCAAAUAAAGACUACAGGUGUAAUUGACGAAUGCAAUACCCAACUCCGCGCGAUCAUCAAAAGAGUUUGGAAGAGAACUUCUCCCAAGCUCCUGGACCAAGUGGUCCCGCCUCCCGGAGACCCGAACGAGAUCACGGUGGGAAAAUUCUACGCGACUUUCCUAAUUCAAGAUUACUUCCGGAGGAACCAUGCGUUCCGAAAACGAAAGGAGCAGGCUGCAGCCACCAACGUCCAGAAAACCUUCCAGGCCGGUAUGAGGACUCUACACGAAGCCGGUCCAGAGCUGAAGAGAGCUAUCUCCGGUAACCUAGAUGAGAUCGUCGAAAUUGUGGAGCCUAUGCACAGGCGCAACCACACAUUAUUCGGUGCUGUCCUAGCAAGUAUCAAGAAACACGGUCGCGAGAGCUUGUAUAGGAGAGAAAAACCACGUCAAGAAGUAAAAAGCUCUGCAUCUGGCGAUGGACCAUCACUGGGCGCCAUGAUGCGGCGGGAGCUUGGCUUGGAUGGCAAAAUACCUGAGGAAGAAGUGAAAGGUGACGAAGGUAACCACAGCGACGAAGAGAUAGCGAUGCAGCCUCUCCUUCACGGCAAAGAUUCGGAAAGCAUUUUCAAAGUUAUCGAGUCGUGACAAACAACGUGUACAAACCAACCACGUGCCUUACUGUGUAGAGAAUCCUGCGGAGAAAUUAAUAAUAAGGGUGCUGACCGAGCAAGGUCUAGGGAAGUACUGCGACAAAG